AGAGUUUGAUCCUGGCUCAGGACGAACGCUGGCGGCGUGCCUAAUACAUGCAAGUCGAACGCUUCUUUUUCCACCGGAGCUUGCUCCACCGGAAAAAGAGGAGUGGCGAACGGGUGAGUAACACGUGGGUAACCUGCCCAUCAGAAGGGGAUAACACUUGGAAACAGGUGCUAAUACCGUAUAACAAUCGAAACCGCAUGGUUUUGAUUUGAAAGGCGCUUUCGGGUGUCGCUGAUGGAUGGACCCGCGGUGCAUUAGCUAGUUGGUGAGGUAACGGCUCACCAAGGCCACGAUGCAUAGCCGACCUGAGAGGGUGAUCGGCCACAUUGGGACUGAGACACGGCCCAAACUCCUACGGGAGGCAGCAGUAGGGAAUCUUCGGCAAUGGACGAAAGUCUGACCGAGCAACGCCGCGUGAGUGAAGAAGGUUUUCGGAUCGUAAAACUCUGUUGUUAGAGAAGAACAAGGAUGGGAGUAACUGUUCAUCCCUUGACGGUAUCUAACCAGAAAGCCACGGCUAACUACGUGCCAGCAGCCGCGGUAAUACGUAGGUGGCAAGCGUUGUCCGGAUUUAUUGGGCGUAAAGCGAGCGCAGGCGGUUUCUUAAGUCUGAUGUGAAAGCCCCUGGCUCAACCGGGGAGGGUCAUUGGAAACUGGGAGACUUGAGUGCAGAAGAGGAGAGUGGAAUUCCAUGUGUAGCGGUGAAAUGCGUAGAUAUAUGGAGGAACACCAGUGGCGAAGGCGGCUCUCUGGUCUGUAACUGACGCUGAGGCUCGAAAGCGUGGGGAGCAAACAGGAUUAGAUACCCUGGUAGUCCUACGCCGUAAACGAUGAGUGCUAAGUGUUGGAGGGUUUCCGCCCUUCAGUGCUGCAGCUCACGCAUUAAGCACUCCGCCUGGGGAGUA
Molecule: ribosomal RNA, 905 nt
Filed under: uncultured bacterium
Lineage: Bacteria
Description: bacterial SSU rRNA
Rfam family: Bacterial small subunit ribosomal RNA
Source: RNAcentral